ACUCCUACGGGAGGCAGCAGUGGGGAAUAUUGCACAAUGGGGGAAACCCUGAUGCAGCGACGCCGCGUGGAGGAAGAAGGUCUUCGGAUUGUAAACUCCUGUUGUUGAGGAAGAUAAUGACGGUACUCAA
This 130-nucleotide ribosomal RNA is filed under the name uncultured Bacillota bacterium. RNAcentral's name for it is "uncultured Firmicutes bacterium partial 16S ribosomal RNA". It matches the Rfam family "Bacterial small subunit ribosomal RNA", at positions 335 to 482 of the family's 1533-position model. Lineage: Bacteria; Bacillati; Bacillota. The record is from RNAcentral.